This 407-nucleotide ribosomal RNA is filed under the name uncultured bacterium. Its description in RNAcentral is "partial 16S ribosomal RNA". It matches the Rfam family "Bacterial small subunit ribosomal RNA", at positions 28 to 526 of the family's 1533-position model. The record is from RNAcentral.
GACGAACGCUGGCGGCGCGCUUAACACAUGCAAGUCGAGCGAAGCGGCGGACGGGUGAGUAACACGUGAGUAACCUGCCUUAGACAUUGGGAUAGCCUCGGGAAACCGGGAUUAAUACAAAAUGGUCUAAGAUGGACUCGCGUCCCAUUAGCUAGUUGGUGAGGUAACGGCCCACCAAGGCGACGAUGGGUAGCCGGCCUGAGAGGGUGAACGGCCACAUUGGAACUGAGAAACGGUCCAAACUCUACGGGAGGCAGCAGUGGGGAAUAUUGCACAAUGGAGGGAACUCUGAUGCAGCGACGCCGCGUGAACGAAGAAGGCUUUCGAGUCGUAAAGUGCUUUUAUAUGGGAAGCGGUACCAUAAGAAAAAGCCCCGACUAACUACGUGCCAGCAGCCGCGGUAAUUC